GAGUAUAUAGCUCAGUGGUAGAACACAUGCCUAGCAUGCAUGAGGUCCUGGGUUCAAUCCCUGGUAUCUCCA
RNAcentral lists this transfer RNA (72 nucleotides) under Camelus bactrianus (Bactrian camel). It matches the Rfam family "tRNA". From Rfam's summary of the family: Transfer RNA (tRNA) molecules are approximately 80 nucleotides in length. Their secondary structure includes four short double-helical elements and three loops (D, anti-codon, and T loops). Lineage: Eukaryota; Metazoa; Chordata; Mammalia; Artiodactyla; Camelidae. The record is from Rfam by way of RNAcentral. RNAcentral also lists the same sequence under 2 other names.